This 663-nucleotide ribosomal RNA is filed under the name uncultured bacterium. RNAcentral's name for it is "bacterial SSU rRNA". It matches the Rfam family "Bacterial small subunit ribosomal RNA", at positions 244 to 907 of the family's 1533-position model. The record is from RNAcentral.
GCUAGUUGGUGGGGUAACGGCCUACCAAGGCGACGAUGUCUAGGGGCUCUGAGAGGAGAAUCCCCCACACUGGUACUGAGACACGGACCAGACUCCUACGGGAGGCAGCAGUAAGGAAUAUUGGUCAAUGGAGGGAACUCUGAACCAGCCAUGCCGCGUGCAGGAAGACGGCCCUACGGGUUGUAAACUGCUUUUGCACGGGAAUAACCCUCAUUAUGUAUAAUGAGCUGAAUGUACCGUGAGAAUAAGGAUCGGCUAACUCCGUGCCAGCAGCCGCGGUAAUACGGAGGAUCCGAGCGUUAUCCGGAAUUAUUGGGUUUAGAGGGUGCGCAGGCGGGGAUCUAAGUCAGGGGUGAAAGACGGUGGCUCAACCAUCGCAGUGCCUUUGAUACUGGAUUUCUUGAAUGUACCUGAGGUAGGCGGAAUGUGGCAAGUAGCGGUGAAAUGCAUAGAUAUGCCACAGAACACCGAUUGCGAAGGCAGCUUACCAAAGUAUGAUUGACGCUGAGGCACGAAAGCGUGGGGAUCGAACAGGAUUAGAUACCCUGGUAGUCCACGCCCUAAACGAUGAACACUCGAUGUCGGUGAUAGACAGUCGGCGUCCAAGCGAAAGCGUUAAGUGUUCCACCUGGGGAGUACGCCCGCAAGAUUAAAACUCAAAUG